UUUGGCACCUUUUUUUUUUUUUUUUUUUUAGAAAAAACUGCUGACAACUAUUAGGUAUUAAUAAUUUUUGGACUUACGUAAUAAGCAAACUUGUUGUCUUUUUAAUUUAGUCAUGGAAUAAUACAUGUUCCAAGCAUUGGUGGGUUUCUUUUUCAUUAGUUGAAGCCCAUUUUUCUCAACAACUUUGCGUAUAUUGCUAAUAUAAGGCAUUUUUCUAGGGUAAUAAACUAAUUUUCCUAUUAGUUUUAUUGUUGCUGUUGACAGUACAUUCUGAUUGUUAGAGUAAAGUUUAACCUUCUCAUAAAGUCAAUUUCUAAAUUCCUUUUUCUACAUCCUGAAUAGAAUAUUAUGUUCUAUCCCUAAACAGAUAUUUAACGAGGAAACAAAAUCUCCUCUGCUUUGGCUAUCUAUUUUUAAACUGUUUGUGGAGUUUUUCUGUAAAUAAUUAAACAUAAUUUAUUUUCUUGGUCCUUUCCCAAACUGAAGUAUAGUUUUUCUCCCCAGAGAUCAUAUUGAAGCUUUUGGUAUUUCUUUGUUUCUCUCAUAUUACUUAACUGUUGAGCAUAAUGAAUAAUUUAAAAAUAUGAUUUUCAAAUUACUUCUCAUUUGCAUUGGCUGAGACAGAUAGGAAGGCAAAUGUAGCCAAGUCACACAGCCAGAGGCAUGUAUAGCUUGACGUAUAGCAAUGAAUUUCCAAAAUGUAAAAUGUAGGCUUCUGAUUCCAAAAGGGUAUGAUUAUGCAGUAAGAACCACAAAAUGCAUCGAGCAGAGUCGCAGGAUAGAUUAUUCCACAACUGACUCCUCUGCCACCGGCAUGUUUAAAUAGUUAUUUUGAGUUGAUAAAAAUAAUAAAUUAGCAUAGCAUUACACAUUUUUUAUUCUUCUAUUCAUUAGCAAUUCUCCUUCAUUUUAAGAUGAGCAGGUUAUAAUAAAGGUGCUCCGUAUAGAUUUCAUUCUGAUCUUUCUAGUUAUUAGAAGAGAAAGAGGAAGAAAGCCAGUUGGUCUAGUCGUUAAGGCACUAGGCUAAAAGCCAGCUGACUAAGUUCUAGUCCUGCUUUAGGCAUGAAUUGCUUUAGGCUGGGUGACAUUAGGCCAGUUAUACUCUCUCAACCCACUCACCUCACAAGGCUGUUGUUGACCGGAAAAUAGGAAGAGGAAGGAGUAUUAGGUAUGUUUGCCAUUCUUGAGUUAUUUAUAAAAAUCCAAAAGGCAGGGUAAAGUUUAAAUAAUUUAUAAAUCUAUAAGUAGAAAGUCGUAUUUUUCUAUUUGAAAAUUAAAUUAAAUUAAAUUCAAUAGUUAUUGUAGUAUCACUACCAAUACCAUUUUGUGAUGUAUCUACUAUACUAAACCAAUAUGUAAUGACUAAGUUUGCACAAUUUUUUGUAUAAAGCAAAUCAUAGGAGUAUAACUAUUAAGAAAUAUUUAUUUUCAGUACCAGAAUGCCAGGAUAUUAAAAUGAAUGAGAAUGUUUUACGUGUUCUAACAUAAAUGAACAUCUUUCAGUAAAACACUGACAGUAGGGCGGAAAUCAAACAUAAUUAAUUUUCAGGAACAUUUUUCAGAAGUGAUUUUUUUUUUCUUUUAAAAGGAAAGAAGCUAAAAACCGGAAAUUCCCAAAACAAGAUACCUGGGAAUGGACAGACAUAAUAUUGGCAAAAUCAUGCAGCAGGAGGAUGAACAGCCAAUUUAUUAAGUCUUUACUCCAAUCUAUUUCUGCAUAACUGUAAAAUAGCAAACCCCCUCGUCCCAAGGCAUUUAGUAGUGGACUGCUGCACACAGUAUUACUUCUAAAGAGAAUCCCAUUUGACAAUCUUCUUCAGAUGACUGGCAAGUGAUCAGUUAUCUGCUGACAGAAGAACUAAAGUCAUCUGGUAUACGUGACAGCUGAACAUCCUGUGGGGUUUUUGUUGUAUGUGCAGCACUAUAUGUCUAUCAAAGUGAACUUCAUGGCUGUAUGUCUGCAUUAAGAGAACAAAACAUAAUUUUCACUUCAAGUGAUGGUGAGAAUGUACCUAUAUGACACGUAAACUCUUUGUGGUGAUAAAACAUUUAACACCUUCCAGAUUAUUGGUGUAAUGAUAUAAUGCCAAGGAUAUCCUCCAAUCUGAAACGCGCUCUCGAGGGAUGAGACUUCAAAAAGAAGAUCUGGAGUGUCUGCGAAAAUAAGUGAAUAUUAAUAAAUUAUCAUUUUACUUGUUCUUCCGCUUGUCAAUCAAAAUAAAACUUGAAUUUGCACUGCAUGCAGAAAAAUUGUUCUCUAGUUUAUAAUACAGUGAUGAUUACAAACCAUGAUACUUUGCAUUCAGUUAGAAAAACUUUAAAUGAAUAUCUGAGUAACUUAAUGAACAGCACAAGGAAUCAAUUUCCCUUAAGUAUUAUAAAGAAAUACUAAAAAUUACACAGCAAUAUAAAAUUAUUUAUUGGAAAAGGAGUUAUGAUAUCUGGACAUAUGUGCACUAUAGCCACCAACUAAGUUAAUUAUAGAUCAUAUCUGAAACAUUUUCAUCACAUUAUUCUAUUGCUUCUACAUUUUGGGGGGAAGUCAUGACAGCUAAAUCUAUAUAAAACUGUUCUAUAUUCAUGUGAAGGUUUUCUUCAUUGAUUUUAAUUAUGACAAUUUUGGAUAACCCAAAGUCUGUGGUCAAAAAUGUUAGAAAUGUUUUGCCAAGCACAGAGCAAUAUUUCCAUUAAUAAUAAAAGUUUAUAUUUGAAUGCAAAAAUAAUCUGGCUUAAUAAAAAUGUAAAUAUAAGUAAAA
Long non-coding RNA from Crotalus tigris (Tiger rattlesnake), 2756 nucleotides. RefSeq lists it as uncharacterized. The record is from RefSeq and is a predicted model, not a curated record. The transcript is spliced from 3 exons. NCBI's taxonomy places the organism in Eukaryota, Metazoa, Chordata, Lepidosauria, Squamata, Viperidae.